GAUGAAGAACGCAGCGAAAUGCGAUAAGUAGUGUGAAUUGCAGAAUUCAGUGAAUCAUCGAAUCUUUGAACGCACAUUGCGGCCAUAGGUAUUCCUUUGGCCAUGCCUGUUCGAGCGUCAUUUACACCCUCAAGCCUAGCUUGGUGUUGGGCGCCUGUCCCGCCGUUUUCGCGCGCGGACUCGCCUCAAAGUCAUUGGCGGCGGUCGUGCCGGCCCCCUCGCGCAGCACAUUUGCGCUUCUAGGAGGCCCGGCGGAUCCGCGCUCCAGCAAGACCUUUCACGACUUGACCUCGGAUCAGGUAGGGAUACCCGCUGAACUUAAGCAUAUCAAUAAGCGGAGGA
RNAcentral lists this unclassified non-coding RNA (342 nucleotides) under soil metagenome. Its description in RNAcentral is "partial contains 5.8S ribosomal RNA, internal transcribed spacer 2, and large subunit ribosomal RNA". The stretch from base 1 to 120 matches the Rfam family "5.8S ribosomal RNA", at positions 35 to 154 of the family's 154-position model. The record is from RNAcentral.